ACUCGUAGACUCCGUACGGGAGGCAGCAGUGGGGGAAUAUUCACAAUGGGCGCAAAGCCUGAUGNAGCCAUGCCGCGUGUGUGAAGAAGGCCUUCGGGUUGUAAAGCACUUUCAGUCGUGAGGAAGGUAGUGUAGUUAAUAGCUGUAUUAUUUGACGUUAGCGACAGAAGAAGCACCGGCUAACUCCGUGCCAGCAGCCGCGGUAAUACGGAGGGUGCGAGCGUUAAUCGGAAUUACUGGGCGUAAAGCGCAUGCAGGUGGUUUGUUAAGUCAGAUGUGAAAGCCCGGGGCUCAACCUCGGAAUUGCAUUUGAAACUGGCAGACUAGAGUACUGUAGAGGGGGGUAGAAUUUCAGGUGUAGCGGUGAAAUGCGUAGAGAUCUGAAGGAAUACCGGUGGCGAAGGCGGCCCCCUGGACAGAUACUGACACUCAGAUGCGAAAGCGUGGGGAGCAAACAGGAUUAGAUACCCUGGUAG
RNAcentral lists this ribosomal RNA (476 nucleotides) under uncultured bacterium. RNAcentral describes it as "bacterial SSU rRNA". It matches the Rfam family "Bacterial small subunit ribosomal RNA", at positions 327 to 793 of the family's 1533-position model. The record is from RNAcentral.